AACAUUUUUGCGAUGUAUAAAAACAUAUACCGACAAUUGUAGUCGUGACAAUAUUAUUCAUCCGGACACAAAACCUUCAUUUGAAGACGUAAAUAUGUUGAUAAUAAGCUGAUUCUGUACAUGUUAGACGAGUGUAAGUAACAGAUUUGAUAUUAAAGCGUAAUUGGUUUAUGUUUUUUAUAUAUACUAUCAUAAAAACAACAGUAACAAAUUGAAAUUUUUUAAAUCUAUUUCUAAGUUUGGAAAAGUAUUUUAAACAAAUCAAUGAUUACACAACAUGACUCGUCAAAGAAAAUAUUUUGUUAACUUAACUUUCGUGUGUAAGGUUUGGGUACAUUGUGAUACAUUUAUGUUCUAUAGGUGUUUGUUUUUUUUUUUUUUAUAAAAGCACAGACAGACACGAAGGCAUUCCAACAGAAUAAUUUAAACAAACUGGAUAUAAAGUAAUAAACAGCUGCGCAAUUAGCGUAUGAUACACCCGUUCGUCUUGUGUGUGAAGUUUUAUGCAAUAAUCAUAAACAGUUUCUUAGAUACGGCGCGACAUGUGAAAAUCCCCCUUUUUUCACAAAAAAACUCAUUAUUUGUAAUUGUACAAUACAAAUUUGAAUCAUCACAAAAAAGUAAACAUAUCUUAAGAUUAAUAUAACGUAGAUGUGUAUAAAGUUUUAAGCAAUAAUCAUUUAUGGUUCUCAAGAUAAGGCAUGACACAUGGAAAACUCCAAUUUUUUUUUUUUUUUUUUUUAACAAAAACUCAAUAACUCUAACAUAAAAAUAUUGAAUCAUUACCAAAACCUAUACAGAUCUUAAGAUUAAUAUAACUAAGAAGUGUGCAAAGUUUUAAGCAAUAAUCAUAAAAAGUGUCUGAGAUACGUCGCCAUUAAUUCCCCUGUUUUAGUUAUUAAGUGCCGUAUCUCAAAAAAAAUUAAAUCUUAUUUUCACCAAAAAAUAUACAGAUCAUUUGUCCAUCAGAAGAAACUACUAUGUAAAGUUUCAAGUUGCGGUACGACAUGUUUACGCCGGACAGACGGACAGAAGAAAAGACGAUAUUUGUAUACCACAAUACAUCCCGUCAACCUAUUGGCGGGCGUAUAAAAAUUAAAAAAUAAUAAAAUAACAGCCAAAAAAUACAACUUUUACCACAAAAAAAAUGAUAUUCUUAUUUCUUUAACUCUUAAAUAAUUUAUUCCUUUCCUAAACGGUGGAAAUUUUUUUUAUUAUAUCCACGUGUUGUUCGUUUGAUCUCAGUACGAUGUACUUCAUUCUUCUCAAUUCCAUAAUGACGUCAAGUUUUCUUGCUUUUACACUGAAAUUCCCUCUGUGACGUCAUGACCAAAGGCGAUUAUGUCUGAUGACGAGAAACAGAUGCCACCACCACAUAUCGGGCAAUACGAUAUGUAUCCUCUCUCGACAUAGAUAUAAGAAGAUGUGGUGUGAGUGCCAAUGAGACAACUCUUCAUCCAAAUAACAAUUUCAAAAAAGUAAACCAUUAUAGGUCAUUGUACGGCCUUCAACACGGAGCCGUGGCUCACACUAAACAACAAGCUAUAAAGGGCCCCAAAAUUACUAGUGUAAAACCAUUCAAACGGGAAAACCAACGGUCUAAUCCAUAUAAAAUAAAAAAAAACAAGAAACGAGAAACACGUAUAAAUUACAUAAACAAACGACAACUACUGUACAUCAGAUUCCUGACUUAGGACAGGUGCAAACAUUUGCAGCGAGAUUUAAAGUUUUAAUGGAUCCAAACCUUCUACCUUUUUCUAAAACAAUAGCAUAACAUCACAACAUAGAAAAACACACGAUAUAAUAUCAAUUGGCAGGCUUAACUCAAUCAAAAAACGUACAUUAAUACACUAUAAACGAAUAAAUGUGAUCUGCGAUAUCUGAAUGCAAAUGCACAGUUAAUAAAAUAUAAGGGACACACAUUCAAGGCUAAAAAGCAAAAAAAGUCCAAACAAAGCCAUGGCAAGUCAUCACAACCCUUCGAAAAUAUUCACUUUAAAAAAGAAACGGUUUUAAAAGAAUAAAGGUAAAUCUUGAAGUUGAUACAAAUGUAGUAAGAAGAAGUGAAACAUAGAAUAUAUCCCAAAUAAUCAAAGCUGGUAUAUAGACAAGAUCCAUAUAAAUAUAAAAUAACAAAAAAAAGCAUUAUAAACAGUAUCAACAGGUCGAAUUAACAAGGAAAUACGAUUUGAACGUACUAACAGUUACUGACAGCUAGUUAAAAGCCAAAAACAAUUAAUAAUAAAACAAUCAUGAAUCAGAGACUAAAAUCAACUAAAACACAUCCCAGGGAUUUAGUAUUUUAACGUCAUGAACAGUCAGAGAAGACAUGACUUGUGCAAUGCCAAAAAUAAAUGUAUCGACAGGUAGAAGAAUAGUGAGAAGCGACUUCUAUAGAGAUAAACAUUAACAUGUAUAUGUCUCUAUACAUCCCGCCUCAAAAGAAGACACAAGUUAUGUUUUAAUUUACUAAUGACAAAAUCGAUAUUAGUACCAAUGUAAACUAUAUUCAGAGAUCUAAUUACAAUAUUGGUACGAUAACCUUUACUUAUAAGUUUGUUUAAAGGUUCGAUGAGUUUAAACGGAUCACAUAGUGAUUUCCUCGCUUUAAGUGCAAUAUUACCAUAAAAUGUAGGAUGUAAAAUACCAAGUUUUCUACAGGUAUAGCCAAAUUUACUAAUCAAAUCUUUGUAUCUAUGAAAGAAUUUAGUAACAGUUUUAAGUAAUUUAUGGUAUCGAAAUCCCUGACACAGCAAUUUCCCAGUGAUGCAUUGAUUACGUUCGUUAAAAUCUAUGACAUCUGAACACACACGGGCAAACCGAACGAGUUGGGAUAUAUAUACACCGUAUGAUGGAGCUAAAGGCACAUCGCCGUCUAAAAAGGGAAAAUUAACAAUGGGAAAUGAAAAAUCGUCUCUUUUAUCGUAAAUUUUAGUAUGAAGUUUCCCGUUUGAAAUUGAAAUGUCUCAAUCUAGAAAAGGACAACUGCUGCUGUAUAUGUUAGAUUUAGUUAACGUAAGUUUUUUUGGGUAAAUUUCUGAAGUACAUUUAGAGAACUCUGGAUUAUUCAACGAAAAAAUAUCAUCCAGAUAAUGGAAGGUAUUUUUGAAUGUAUCAACCAAAUAUAACACUUUUAAAUAUCAAAAACGCUCGGCGAGCAUUGCCUUUAUAUAUGAAAAAUUAACUGUUUUAUCGUAUUUCACGUGAUGGUAUGGUAGAAUCUAUGUCUCUCAAAGUAUGGUAUGAUUUCAAAAUUUACAAUAAUUGUGUCUAAAUUUGACUGAAAUAUUUCUAAAUACUUUUAAAUGAGGGACGAAAGAUACCAGAGGGACAGUCAAACUCAUAAAUCGAAAAUUAGCUGACAACGCCAAGGCUACAAAUGCAAAAGACAAACAAUAGUACACAUGACACAACAUGUAAAACUCAAGAAUAAGCAACACGAAUCCCAUAAAAAAAUGCGGGUGAUCUCAUUUGAUUCGGAAGGGUAAGAAGAUCCUACUCCACAUAUGGCACCCGUCGUGUUGCUCAUGUUAUAACAAAUCCCGUCAUUAGUUUAAUUCGGUAUAUCACAUUCAUGAAAAGAAGGGGAUUGUAUUUAUCACGUAAGGAACAUAUCCGAUAGAACAGACGUAUGAUUAUCCAGAAUGUCCUCUUUGGUAAGUGUGAGGGUAUAUGUUGAGUUUUCAAGUCAAUACGCAUUUCGUUUAGCAAGCAGUAAAUGUAAUGAGUUUUACACACAAAAACAAUGUUGUUUGGGGCUUUAUCUGCGGGGACAACAACAUAUUUGUCAUGUAGGUAGGAUAAGUGUUUUGAUAGUCCAAAUAAAUAUGUCGUCUGGCAUUCCAGAUAAUGUAAAUCGAACGUUCCGGUCAUACGGGUCCAUUUAAUUUUACAGUUUUUUUUUUUGUUUUUUUUUUUUAAUUUUAUAUUCACCCGAAGUGACGUUUUAUUGGUAAUUGUGGGAAAACAUCUUGAAACAAAAAAAAAUCAAUUGCCCACCUCAAAUGGAAUUGUAGCUUAUUUUAUCUUUUCUUUUAGAUAUUUCUGGAAAUAUUUUACAUCAAUAAGCACAAAAAAUGUAGGACUUUGUAACUACGUAAAAAUUUCUAACCGGCAAUGAAAAUUUCAGGUCCAAAUUAGGUGUCAAAGUUCAUCCCAAAAUUUGCUCUCAAACUCCAGAUGUAAAAAAAAUGGCUUCAGCGUUAUGACGUUGUAGGAAGGCGUCCCAGAAAAAAAAACCAUUAAAAAAAGCCUUGCCAGACGUCAUAAUUAUUUGGACUAGUAUUUUGCAACAUUUGGGUUUUUAAAGAUUAUCUUUUUUAUAUAAUUUGUUUAUUGGAAAAACAUAUGUUAUAAAUAUAAACCAUUGCAAAGAGCGUACGCCUGCUUAAACUCCUAACUCCAACUAAUAUAAUGACUUUAAAGGUAUCCAUUCGUUACAUAAUGUACACAUUCUUUACCAUUAAAUGUGUAUAGCUGUUAAAUUUUGAAGAAUAUUUGAUGCGUUGACUUAAAUGGUUUCAUGUCAUUUAAAUUACUCUGAUUUCAUGUCCCUUUAUUGAAUUUUUGUAAAGUAUUUGUUGUACAUGUAUGCUCCUCACACAUUAUAAUUAAUACAGUUGUUACUUUCAUGUGUUUUAUUUCGAAGAAUCUGUUAGAACUGACUCAGUACGUAUUAGGUAAUAAAACAGUUAUUGAAUGUGUAACAGUGCAAUAGAUCAAAAUAUAUUUUGAUCUAUCGCAUAGUCACAUAUUAAAUAACUGCAAACUAUAUAAAAUAUUAACUCUAUGUACUUGUCUCGAUUUUGCUGAUAUACGAUGCACUUACUCACUAUGAUUAUGUAGUUUUUUGCCAAUAAACACAUUACAAAAAGAUUGACGUACCAUGGGCAUUGAUAGACUAAUUCAGUUUUCUAAUUCUGAAUUUUAUCAACGACCUCACAGCCUUAAUCCAUUCGGAAAGAGUGUCUACGUCUUUUAUUUUACGCUCAGUCCAUUGCCUGGCCUAAUCAUCAACUUAAUCCAUCAAAUUUUAAAGUUGUAUUUCCAAUUGAUGAAUUGAAGCUCACAAUAUUCGGACCUUUUGAUUACAAAUUUCACAGGGAAGUGUUAUUGACCAUGGUGAAGUCAACAACGAUAACGUGGCCAGUCGGAUUAUGUGUGAUUUGGGAACUAGCACGAGUGCUAAAAAGAGGUUUAGACUUGAGGCCAAAAACAAUUAACAAUUAUACAAAAUCAUCCAUCAAACACAUCCCAGGAAUUUAGUGUUUUAAAGCCAUGGACAGUAAAAAGUAAAAUCACAAAAAUACAGAACUCCAAGGAAAAUUCAAAAAGGAAAUUCCCCAAUCAAAUGGCAAAAUCAAAAGUUCAAACACAUCAAACGAAUGGAUAACAACUGUCAUAUUCCUGACUUGGUACAGGCAUUUUCUUAUGUAGAAAAUGGUGGAUUGAACCCGGUUUUAUAGCUAGUUAAACCUCUCAUUUGUAUGACAGUCGCAUCAAAUUCCAUUAUAUUGUCACCGAUGGGUGAACAAAACAAACAGACACAAUAGGUAAAAAUGUCAAAAAUAGGGGUACAGCAGUCGGUAAACGGACAGAAAGUCACAGGACAAAAAGUCACAGGACAUAAAGUCACAAAUUUGAUAGGACAAAAAGUCACAGGACAAAAAGUCACAAAUAGUUUGUUGACAAUUAUUUGAAUAUAUAAGAGAAAUAUCUUGAAAUCUUUACUUUUUAAUACAAAUAUUCAUAUUAAAGUGUAGGAAAUGUGUCAUUAUACUUGAAAAAAAGAAGAUUUAUUUAAUUUUAAUCAAGCAAAUGGUAUAUUUCUUGGCACCAUGAAGCCAUUUAAGUGCAAAGCCACGUUGACAUUUUGUUUUUUUAACAAUUAUUUGAUCAUCUUUGAUAUUUUUUGGUAAAUUUUGUUUACAAUGUUGGUUUAUAUACAAUAGUUCAAGAAAAAUGCAUAAAUAUUUUUGUAGAAAUAAGUGUUUUUUAUUCAAAGAAAAUAUUCAGAAAAAAUGUAUUGUGACUUUUUGUCCUGUGACUUUUUGUCCGUGACUUUUUGUCUGUGACUUUUUGUCCUGUGACUUUCUGUCCUACAUUCCAGCAGUCAACACUGUGUUAUCAUCUUUAUCACUAUAAAAACAACAAAUGUAACGAAGAAGCACAAAACGGCAUGCAUAAAAAUUAACAUCCUCAUUUUGCUUAUAUUAUACGAUUUUAUUUAUCUAUCUAAAAUACACCCAUAAAGGAUGGAAGGUUUUAAGUACUGGUGUAAAAUUGCGAAUUUGAAAUUCCCACAGGUAGAGAUAAAAUAAUUUUGUCGUUCAAAGUAUGACGUAUGUAUAAAUACAGUCACGUAAAAUAGAUAUAACAAAAAAGAGAGACUUAACAGUAAAUUAAAGUAAUAAUAGUAAAUAAAAUAAUAGUGUGGUUCAAAGUAUGACAUCAAAUGUUUAUCACAAAAAAGAGACUAACAGUAAAAGUAAUAUUGAUAAAAUAAUUUUGUCAUUCAAAGUAUGACAAGAUACAUUGGUACAGAGUCAUAUCAUAAAAUAUUUUUGCCGUCCAAAGUAUGAUGAAAGACAUAAGCACAGAGUUAUGUCAACUGGAUAUCUCAAAAAACAGACUUAACCCUAAAAGUAAUAAUAAUAAAGACAAAUAAAAGAAUAAUAUAACACGUUAUUAAGAUGAUAAACAACAUCAGUACGCAAAAUCUAUACUUCAAGACCAUCGUGUAUUAUUUGUGAAGUCGAAACGAAAUAUUUAUCAACAAGUUCUUGGUACCUUCAGAUGAACUCUUUAGAAAAAGGACGAGACUUUCCUUGACAUACCCCUGGUUCGUCAACUUUCAGCUAACAUGAGAAACGAAAAACACUUAUAAGCCACAUCAGCAAACGAUAACAACUACACAUCAUAUCUCUGACUUAGAACAGGGACAAACAAAUACAGCAGGUUUAAACGCAUACCUUUACUUCACCCUGAAACAAUAGUGUAGCAUCACAACAUAGAAAGACACAUCAUAAAAUAAUAAAUGAAAUGGCUUAAUUCAAUCAAAAGAUAUAUGAACACAAACAAAAGAAUAUGCACUGAAAGAAUAAAUUUAAUCUUUAACACAAUGUAAACAAAAUAAACAGGAAUUAUUAAACAGCAUACAAAAUACAACCGUAACCUUUGACAAAAUUUAGCCAAACAGAAUUACGUGCAAUGGUUCAUAAAACUAAUUUUUGUAUACAAUAAGUACAACAUAUUACUUUAACAAAAUAAUUUUGUUGUUCAUGGUUCGGGAAAAUUUAUCAUCCUCUCAAACAAUUCUCAAGGUGGAAAAUAUUACAAAUAGUGAGACGACAUAUCACACUUAUUAAGUAAACUUUGAAUUACAAAUGUUCAUUACAAAUUAAAUCAAUAGGUCAAAUUAACAAGAAAAUACUAUUUAAGAGUACUAAGAGUUACUGAAAGCUAAUCUAUAAACGCCAAAUUAACACUUUUUGGCUGUUUCGUGUCAGUCAAUUGUUUCGAAAGGAAGCCAGUAUGACCGGAAAGAAUCUCGAACUUUGGUAGAAAAACUGUUACGUAAUGAUAAAUAUUUCACUUAUGACAAUUUGAUGAUAACAAAAAUGAAAGUGUUGCAGUGAAUGUGUUUUCUUUUUAAGAUUCAAAAAUGGAUAUAUUUAUUGGGAUGAUGAAGACCAUCGUAAUGCAAACAAACCCCAUGGAGUUCUUCCCAGUGGACUCUAAACCUCUAGUAGGGACACGCGCAUAAACUACUGUUGCAGGUAUAUUUUACAUUUUGAUUUUUAAUAACAUUCCAAUUCCAAUUCCUUUUUUUCCUAAUCGAAGGGUCUUUUCGUGCUCUACAUAUUUUGACACGUUUUUCGCGCUUUUAUACCCCCGUUUUCACGCACUUUUCUGAUUAUGAUAAUAAACAACGAGAGAGAUACAAAAGGGAUAGUCGGAUUCAUUAGUCGAAUACAAAAGGAAUAUUCAAACAAAACGUAAAACGACCAAGGGCAAACAAUAGUCUGCAAAAUACCACAUAGAUAACUUCAGACAAUGCAACAAGAACCCAUCAAAAACUGGUAUGGUCUCAUGUGGUCCGAAAGCAUGUCGUCCGCUAUACGGAACACUUAGUUUUUACUUAUUCUUAGGCUCAAAAUUAAAAAAUAUAUAACUUUAUUGACUUAUUUCAUUGCUUUCAUAUUUGAUGGAUCAUACAGAACUCAGAUCAAUCUUCCAACAACCAUACCGUUCUAUUUAUUACGUUACCGAUCACCGUGCCAACAGGUACAGGGUAUGGUUGUAAGGGAGGAGAUCGUGAUGUUUGACGACCAGGACCGCCACAACGAAUACUAUCAAGGUGGAAGUCAUCCUUUGAACGACACAUCAGACAGAAACAACGUGCUCUACUAUUGUUAUUAUGAGUGUCGUUAACUUGUUUCUAUGUUCUACGAACGUCUUUAUCAAAUCUGUUAUCAACGUAUCAACGAAUUUUUAUCUAUAUAAUCAACAAGACGGGUGUUUGUAAUGGAGAUGAUAUGCCUACACUU
RNAcentral lists this long non-coding RNA (8549 nucleotides) under Mytilus galloprovincialis (Mediterranean mussel). The record is from RNAcentral. Lineage: Eukaryota; Metazoa; Mollusca; Bivalvia; Mytilida; Mytilidae.